AUUGAACGCUGGCGGCAUGCCUUACACAUGCAAGUCGAACGGCAGCACGGGGGCAACCCUGGUGGCGAGUGGCGAACGGGUGAGUAACAUAUCGGAACAUACCCUAGAGUGGGGAUAACGUAGCGAAAGUUACGCUAAUACCGCAUACGAUCUAAGGAUGAAAGUGGGGGAUCUUCGGACCUCAUGCUCAUGGAUGGCCGAUAUCUGAUUAGCUAGUUGGUGAGGUAAAGGCUCACCAAGGCGACGAUCAGUAGCUGGUUUGAGAGAACGACCAGCCACACUGGAACUGAGACACGGUCCAGACUCCUACGGGAGGCGAG
RNAcentral lists this ribosomal RNA (320 nucleotides) under uncultured bacterium. RNAcentral's name for it is "bacterial SSU rRNA". It matches the Rfam family "Bacterial small subunit ribosomal RNA", at positions 30 to 351 of the family's 1533-position model. The record is from RNAcentral.